RNAcentral lists this ribosomal RNA (253 nucleotides) under uncultured bacterium. RNAcentral describes it as "partial 16S ribosomal RNA". It matches the Rfam family "Bacterial small subunit ribosomal RNA", at positions 524 to 776 of the family's 1533-position model. The record is from RNAcentral.
UACGUAGGGUGCAAGCGUUGUCCGGAAUUACUGGGCGUAAAGGGUUUGUAGGUGGCUUGUUAAGUCAGACGUGAAAUCCCUCAGCUUAACUGGGGAACUGCGUCUGAUACUGGCGAGCUUGAGUGCAGGAGAGGAACGCGGAAUUCCAGGUGUAGCGGUGAAAUGCGUAGAUAUCUGGAGGAACACCGGUGGCGAAGGCGGCGUUCUGGACUGCAACUGACACUGAGAAACGAAAGCCAGGGUAGCAAACGGG